Molecule: ribosomal RNA, 32 nt
Filed under: Diaporthe caulivora
Lineage: Eukaryota; Fungi; Ascomycota; Sordariomycetes; Diaporthales; Diaporthaceae
Description: partial 18S ribosomal RNA
Source: RNAcentral
GAUAGUUACCUGGUUGAUUCUGCCAGUAGUCA